Long non-coding RNA from Serinus canaria (Common canary), 3195 nucleotides. RefSeq lists it as uncharacterized. Lineage: Eukaryota; Metazoa; Chordata; Aves; Passeriformes; Fringillidae. The transcript is spliced from 2 exons. The record is from RefSeq and is a predicted model, not a curated record.
GGCCCCGGGAGGUGUUUUUGGGGGGUCCUGUGGUCUGCAGUGGCUGCUCCCAAUAUGUGCCCAGUUGGUCCCUCCAUGUGCUUCCAGUUUCCUCGGCACUCCCAGUAUGAGCCCAGUCACUCCCAGCAGGGUCCCAGUCACUACCACUUGUUCCCAGUGUGUUCCCAGUUCCCCCACCACAUUCCCAGUUGCUCCUAGUUUGGUCCCAGUGACGCCCCCAUAUGGUCUCAGAUACUCCCAGUCAAUCCCAGUAUGAUUCCAGUCACCCUCAGUGUGAUCCCGAUCUCACCCAGCCUGCACUCAUCUGCUUCCAGUGUGAUUCAAGCGUGAUCCCAGUUGCCCCCGGCAUAGUUCCAGUUGGUCCCAGUAGCUCCCAUUAUGAUCCCAGUUGCCCCUUGAAUAGUCCCAGUCCUUCCCAGCAGGGUCCCAGCCAUGCCCAGUUGCCCCAAGUGUGGUCUGAGUUGUCCCCAGCAUGUUCCCAGCUGUUCCCAGUGUGGUCGCAGUCACUCCCCAGAUGAUCCCAGUCCCUUCUGGCAUGGUCCCACUCACUCCCAGUUGCCCCCAGCAUGGUCCCAGUUCUUCCCAGCAUGGUCUUGGUUGAUCUCAGUGUGGUUCCAGUCACCCCAGUAUGGUUACAGACACUCCCAGUAUAUCCCAGUUGCCCCCAGCAUGUCUGUAGUCAUUUCCAGGCACUGCCAGUGGCCCCAGUGAGGUGUUCGUUAUCCCAGUAUGAUCCCCCAGUCAUGCCCAGAAUAUCCCAGUUGCCUCCAGCCUGCAUCCAGUCCUUCCCAGUUCCUGCAAUUUGCUUGAGCAUGAUCCCAGUUUCUCUUUGCUGCUCCCCGUAGCCCAAAGUGUGAUCCCAGUCACUCCCUUUCAACCCCAGUAUGAUCCCAGUAAGCUCCAGUUUGAUCCCAGUCACACACCAGUCCUCCCAGUGUGGUCCCAGUAUAAUCCCAGUUGCUUCCAGUCUUUCCCAGUAUGGUCCCAGCUGCCUCCAGCAUGGUUCCAGUUGCUUCCUGGAUCAACACACUCAGUCCCAGUACAAUGCCAUUUGUUCCCAGCGUGCUCCCAGUUGCUCCCAGUCAGGCCCAGUGUGGGGGAUGAUGUGCAGGGUGUGUUCCCAGUCACUCUCAGAUACUCCCAGUAUUAGUCCAUUCCCUCCCAGUAUGAUCCAAAGCUGACCCAGUGUGCUCCCAGUCCCUGCCAGUAUGAAGCAGUUGAGCUCCACAUGGUUCCAGUUGCUCUCUUUCACCCUCACUUUUGUUCCACUCCCUCCAAGUAUCUCCGAGUGUAGCCCAGUUCCCUUCCGCAUGUUCCCAGUCAGUCCCAGUUCCUUCCAGUAUGAUCCCAUUAGGUCAGAACCACUGCCAGUCAGCCUCAGUGUGGUCGCACUCAAUGCCAGUUGUUUCCAAUCACCCCCAGCAUGUAACCAGUCACACCCAGUUCCUCCCAGUUGGGUUUUUUGGGGGAUGUUUGGAGAAUGAAGUACAAGGCUGAGUGGAAAAGGCCCUUCGGGGGGACAUCAGGGGGUGGCGGCGGCGACUGCCAGCAGAGGCAGCCUGGAGGAGCAGAGCCCUGUGUCCCCCAGGAGCCCAAAGUGGGGAGCCCAGAGAGGGGGGAGCGCCGCCGUUGGCGGGAGCCUCAGAGCCUGGAGAGGGGCAGGGGGGACUGCUUGGAGCCCCUGCAGCCCCGAGCAGAGAAUGAGGGGAGAAGGGAGCCUGGGAGCCCAAACAGCCCCAGCAUCCUGAAAUGGGGAGAGCAAAGAGGGGGGAGCUUUUGGGAUUGCUGGGACUGCCAGCAGCCUGGCGAGGGCGGGCACCGAGGAGAACGGGGGACCCCCCAACACAGCCAUGACCCCUAGGUGCUGGGCCACAGUGGGUACCCCAAACACCAAAGGGGAGGGACGGGGGAUGGGGAACUCCUGGGAGACUUUUUCAGGCCUGAACCUUGGUGUUUGGGAGGCUUUUCUGGAGCCCAGAUGGCUGGUGACUUGUAGAGAUGGCCUUGAGCAGAGGGACCUUCAAAGUCCACGUGCUCAACCCUUGGUUUCCCCAAACCAGAAUUUCUCACUCCCAGCCCUUGGGAGGCUGUGAAGAAGAGGAAGAUGCCCUGGGAUACCAAGGCAGAGCAGGAGCUGAGCAUGGAGAGCAGGGAGGACAAAUCCCCACGGCAGAACCUGGUGGAAGAGGCCGUUUUGAGUGGCUCCACGGUGCAGGAACCCAAUGGGGAGGAAAAGCUCCGGAGAUCCCACACGAGGAGGGGCUGCAAACGCAGAUCACAGGGAUCUGAGGGGGAAAGAGCCAGCCUGGGCUGGGAAAGCGGCCGGAGAUGGAGCCAGAGCUCGGAGCUGGUGCUUCAUGAGCAGCUCCAUGGUGGGGAGAAGCCCCAAAAGUGCUUGGAAUGUGGGAAGAGCUUCAGGGGAGGUCCAACCUGAUCAAUCACCAGAGGAUCCACACUAGUGAACAGCCCAUUGAGUGGGAUCAAUGCAGGAAGAGGUUUCAGACCAGCUCUGAUCUCUUCAAGCACCAGCGCAGGCGCACAGAGGAGAGGCCCUUCCACUGCCCCAACUGCGGGCAGGGCUUCAGGUGACAUAGCAAUCUUGUCAUGCACCGACGCAUCCACACUGAGGAGAGGCCCUAAGAAUGUGGGAAACGUGGGAAGAGCUUUUCUAGGAGCUUUCACUUGACCCAACACCAACGGACGCACCAGUAAGGGAAGCCCUGUGAGUGCCCCGAGUGUGGGAAGAGCUUCGUGCGCUGCUCCAGCUCCAUCCCCCACUGGAGAGGAGUCAUGUUGGGCACAGCCCUGGUACCCCACAUUCCAUGCAAUCCAUGUUGUGAACACAUCUGGCUGGUUUUCCUUUUGGUUUGGCUUUAAUCUUUUUCACUUCUCCGUAUCUUUGCAGUCCAAAAGCCAAGAGGGAUCGAUCUUUCACCUCAAAACUACUCAAAUCCCACUGAAAACGACUGAAUUUUAACUCAAAAGGGCUCAUUCCCACCUCAAAUUGCUUGUUCCCUCCUCACAAAAGCUCUGUCCGAGGCCAAACUCACUCCAUUCCACAGCUGCCAGGCAAAGAUGGAGUUGGGAGGAGAUUGGGAGAAGUGGGAUCCCAGUUUGGAGCAGUGGGAUGGGGAUUGUGUGGGGCUGGCUGGGUGGGAUGUAUUUGAUAGCAAAUAAAACUUUCAGAGUUACUGA